GACGAACGCUGGCGGCGUGCUUAACACAUGCAAGUCGAACGGAAAGGCCCUGCUUUUGUGGGGUGCUCGAGUGGCGAACGGGUGAGUAACACGUGAGUAACCUGCCCUUGACUUUGGGAUAACUUCAGGAAACUGGGGCUAAUACCGGAUAGGAGCUCCUGCUGCAUGGUGGGGGUUGGAAAGUUUCGGCGGUUGGGGAUGGACUCGCGGCUUAUCAGCUUGUUGGUGGGGUAGUGGCUUACCAAGGCUUUGACGGGUAGCCGGCCUGAGAGGGUGACCGGGCACAUUGGGACUGAGAUACGGCCCAGACUCCUACGGGAGGCAGCAGUGGGGAAUAUUGCACAAUGGGCGGAAGCCGGAUGCAGCAACGCCGCGUGCGGGAUGACGGCCUUCGGGUUGUAAACCGCUUUCGCCUGUGACGAAGCGUGAGUGACGGUAAUGGGUAAAGAAGCACCGGCUAACUACGUG
RNAcentral lists this ribosomal RNA (468 nucleotides) under uncultured bacterium. RNAcentral's name for it is "partial 16S ribosomal RNA". It matches the Rfam family "Bacterial small subunit ribosomal RNA", at positions 28 to 507 of the family's 1533-position model. The record is from RNAcentral.